Long non-coding RNA from Venturia canescens, 975 nucleotides. RefSeq lists it as uncharacterized. Lineage: Eukaryota; Metazoa; Arthropoda; Insecta; Hymenoptera; Ichneumonidae. The record is from RefSeq and is a predicted model, not a curated record. The transcript has 2 exons.
UUCGUUUGUAAUACCGCGCAUAAGCGAGUUUGAGCAGGUGCAACGUUCCGCAUAAAACGAGCUGCAAAAGUGAGGAGCGACCAGGUGGACGGAUCGGUAAACAAGACUCGCUGGCAACAAUCUUCGUCUCGCGAGCGCGAGCCUCCCCAAUCGGCGGCUCUUCGCCGAGCCAGCUAACCCACUUCCCCGGCACGUCGCGAGGCCUCAGGGUCGCCGACCUUGAUCGAACCAGUAAUCGAGAUCGUAAUUAACUUGCCAGCGGAUCACGCUCGCGAGCGUCACUUCGGAAAUCCCUGCAUUCCUUGCGCGCCAUUUUUCACUUCGUCUCUCAAUGUUUCUCGCUCUUUGAGAGUUUUUUUCUCAAAAUUUGAGGAUUUCCACUUCAAAUUAGAAGCAUUUUAGAGGUCCGUGAAAGCGACUCGCGGGCACGUUCAAUCAUCGGGGACUGAGUCGUGAAAACUCCCUGAGAAAAGAAUCAGCAAACGUUUUGUUGAAUCAUCGAAUCGUGACGAACAAAAUGAAAUUGUUGACUCGACGAUGUUUCCUUCGUAGAGCGGAGUGCUUCGGUGUUUACUUGAAUCAGCGAAUCAAGAAACACGAUGUUUGUUGAUGGGAAGUAAACAAUUGCCAAGUGCCCUUGAAACCAACGCGAAUUUCCCAAGUUCCCUCGUCGAUAUGAGACCGGAGAAGAGUCGAUUCAAAGAGAACACAAAACAUCAGAGAUCAAUAUCUUGAAAAUCGUGCAAACGAUUUGUCGGUCUCAUUGUUAAAUGUGCAGCCUCUGUGGGCAUUGAAGCCCAAACAAACUUGUGACGAAACUCGUUUGCUCAUGGACAAUGCGACUUGGAGAAGACAAUGCGCAGACUCGUCACAUCUCUGUUUGAAUACUCCGAAUGCGUUUGUAUCACACUGAGGUCACGUUUGAAUGAUCAAUUGCAAAAGAAUAAAAAACAUUAAAAACCGAAGAGCCCACAA